RNAcentral lists this ribosomal RNA (253 nucleotides) under uncultured bacterium. RNAcentral describes it as "partial 16S ribosomal RNA". It matches the Rfam family "Bacterial small subunit ribosomal RNA", at positions 524 to 776 of the family's 1533-position model. The record is from RNAcentral.
UACCGAGGUCUCGAGCGUUGUUCGGAUUCAUUGGGCGUAAAGAGCGUGUAGGCGGCCAGGUAGGUCUGCUGUGAAAACUCGAGGCUUAACCUCGAGCUGUCGGCGGAAACCAUCUGGCUAGAGUCCGGAAGAGGAGAAUGGAAUUCCCGGUGUAGCGGUGAAAUGCGCAGAUAUCGGGAGGAACACCGGUGGCGAAGGCGGCAUCCUGGACCAACACUGACGCUGAGGAGCGAAAGCCAGGGGAGCAAACGGG